CUCUAUGGUCAUACCACCCUAAAUGAGCCCAAUCUCGUCUGAUCUAUGAAGCCAAGUACGGUCAGGCAUGGUUAGUACUUGAAUGGGAGACAAUUUCUUUUAACACUAGAUU
This 112-nucleotide ribosomal RNA is filed under the name Mesocricetus auratus (golden hamster). Lineage: Eukaryota; Metazoa; Chordata; Mammalia; Rodentia; Cricetidae. The record is from RNAcentral.